AAAAAAAAAAAAAAAAACCAUUCAGUUCCUAGCUAUAACACCAGUAAAAAGAUUUGACACAAUCCCAAGCAGAAUUAAUGAAACCCAACAAAAAAAUGUAAAUCUGAGCAGAUGGGAUCAUAAUCCCCAAUAAAAAAUCCAGAAUCAAUUUUAAAAAAAAAAAUCAAUAAAUGGGAUUUCUCAAAAAAGUUUCUUUCUUUUCUAAUAAAAAAAAAAAAAAGAAAAUCAAAGAAUUAAUUGGAAAUAAAAUGAAAAAGAUUAUACCUUUAGGUCGAGACGUUUUUCCCAGCCAGAGGGUACUUGCAAAUCGAGGUCCAACUCUUUAGAGUCAAGAGCAGAACAUCCACCAAGGAAAUCCCUUGUGAUCGGGGCCGUUGACUUCCCUGCUAAUGCUGACUCAUUUGAAUCACAACCGUUGAUAAGUCUGAUCACAGAACUGACCUCAGUGCCCAUAUCCCACCAAGAAAAUCUUCUACUUUUUUGCAGAACCCAAUAGAAAGAGAAGAAGAAAGUUAAAGACUUUAUAGAGAGAAAGAGAUAAAACUGAGUGGAUGAAUGGAUUUGAAUUAAAUAGAGAGGAGAAGGUGCAAUGAGUAAAUUGAAUCUGAUUGUAUAUAAAUGAAGACAAAAUGCAAAUUACUACAAUUAUUUAAUAAAGAGUUUAUUGUUGAUUUUGAUUCGUAUGGAUGGGAUUUUUUUUUUAAUUUUGGGGGGUCAUUGAAUGCAAUGGGAACACUAAAGGACAGUUGUCAAUUAAUGUGAAGACCUUUUGGGUUCCGAAGCUCUCAUU
Molecule: long non-coding RNA, 790 nt
Filed under: Olea europaea (common olive)
Lineage: Eukaryota; Viridiplantae; Streptophyta; Magnoliopsida; Lamiales; Oleaceae
Description: long non-coding RNA (OEUR_LNC002096)
Source: RNAcentral